RNAcentral lists this ribosomal RNA (45 nucleotides) under Camarosporidiella celtidis. RNAcentral describes it as "partial 18S ribosomal RNA". It matches the Rfam family "Eukaryotic small subunit ribosomal RNA", at positions 1791 to 1831 of the family's 1831-position model. The record is from RNAcentral. Lineage: Eukaryota; Fungi; Ascomycota; Dothideomycetes; Pleosporales. RNAcentral also lists the same sequence under 1 other name.
GUAACAAGGUUUCCGUAGGUGAACCUGCGGAAGGAUCAUUAAUUG